AGUCCAUGAUGUGGACAUUUUUGAAUCAAUGUCUUCAAAAUUCUCCCAAGCUUCGUGAAAACUCUCUCCCUCUAACUGCUUAAACAUAGUAAUUUCCUUUCUUAGUUU
RNAcentral lists this small nucleolar RNA (108 nucleotides) under Gossypium hirsutum (cotton). Its description in RNAcentral is "Plant small nucleolar RNA R71". It matches the Rfam family "Plant small nucleolar RNA R71". From Rfam's summary of the family: R71 is a member of the C/D box family of snoRNAs containing the C (UGAUGA) and D (CUGA) box motifs. Multiple nearly identical copies of this snoRNA have been identified in Arabidopsis, and it is thought to function as a 2'-O-ribose methylation guide for 18S ribosomal RNA. Lineage: Eukaryota; Viridiplantae; Streptophyta; Magnoliopsida; Malvales; Malvaceae. RNAcentral also lists the same sequence under 1 other name. The record is from Rfam by way of RNAcentral.